GAUGAACGCUGGCGGCGUGCCUAAUACAUGCAAGUCGAGCGAACAGACGAGGAGCUUGCUCCUCUGACGUUAGCGGCGGACGGGUGAGUAACACGUGGAUAACCUACCUAUAAGACUGGGAUAACUUCGGGAAACCGGAGCUAAUACCGGAUAAUAUAUUGAACCGCAUGGUUCAAUAGUGAAAGACGGUUUUGCUGUCACUUAUAGAUGGAUCCGCGCCGCAUUAGCUAGUUGGUAAGGUAACGGCUUACCAAGGCGACGAUGCGUAGCCGACCUAAGAGGGUGAUCGGCCACACUGGAACUGAGACACGGUCCAGAACCCUACGGGAGGCAGCAGUAGGGAAUCUUCCGCAAUGGGCGAAAGCCUGACGGAGCAACGCCGCGUGAGUGAUGAAGGUCUUCGGAUCGUAAAACUCUGUUAUUAGGGAAGAACAAAUGUGUAAGUAACUAUGCACGUCUGGACGGUACCUAAGCAGAAAGCCACGGCUAACUACGU
Molecule: ribosomal RNA, 496 nt
Filed under: uncultured bacterium
Lineage: Bacteria
Description: partial 16S ribosomal RNA
Rfam family: Bacterial small subunit ribosomal RNA
Source: RNAcentral